Molecule: long non-coding RNA, 381 nt
Organism: Oncorhynchus tshawytscha (Chinook salmon)
Lineage: Eukaryota; Metazoa; Chordata; Actinopteri; Salmoniformes; Salmonidae
Source: Ensembl
UUGCAUUUUGUGCAAUUACACUAUAAUUGUUUUUACAUACAUCAGACUCCGCUAAUUAAUUGUGUGAGAGGUGGUCGAACCGAACUAUGACCAUGUACAGUUCUCUCCACCUGAGUGGUAGAACUGGUGACAGCAGUGCCAUUUUAGCUCAGUCAGUGAACUCCUCACCCCCCUGAGUACAAAGGAGACGAGGGAAAGACGAGGGAGAGAACGGAGGAGUAACUGCUGGUGGCCCGUACCCACAUGUGGACAUGUACAAAAGGACGAUCCACACGGACUCUACGCCCAUCCACAGGGCCCUACCCACUCAGAAAAACACACCUUCACUCUUACUCACAAGCACAAACACAUACCGGUACUCACAUACACCCUCACUCACAC